This 1743-nucleotide ribosomal RNA is filed under the name Triticum aestivum (bread wheat). Its description in RNAcentral is "partial small subunit ribosomal RNA". Lineage: Eukaryota; Viridiplantae; Streptophyta; Magnoliopsida; Poales; Poaceae. The record is from RNAcentral.
AUGGCAUCUCGUCUUCCCCAAGAUGACCAUAUCACCCCCCCAUCGCGUCGCCAUCCCCCACACCAGCGCUUCCCCGUCACCCCCCACCCUUUCGCCCCUGCCCCUGUCCCACCCUACUCGCCGAUCACUCCCCUCAACUUCGGCGCCCCCCCAAGUGAUAGCCGUUCGACGGACUCCGAUGCACCACCAUGUUGUUGCCGUCCGGAGCAGCUCGACGUCUACAUGCCUCCGGUUGACAUGAGGGAUUUUGAGCGCUACGGCUUUGCUUUCGUCGAUCCUGAAGCAACGUCUCCCGGGCCUCUAGUCCGCUCGGCGCUACUGUCCCAGGUUCCACUAGGCAUGGAGGCUCAGUGCGCGCAGGGCUCCCACGGCACUGCCCUGGUCCUGUUCCGCUCGGCGGCAUCCCGUGAAUUUGCUGUUGACGAGAGCUCGUUUCCCGUCCAGGAGCACAAUGUCUACUUUGAGCGUCAUGAGGAGGACCCCAACCGGCUGCUCUUCACUCAUCGUGGGUACGCGGCGCUGGCUCUUGUCGGCUACCCAGUGGAGCACUGGAACAGGCCGCAUAUACACACUUCAGUGGGAGGUAUGGGCAAUCCCAUGGAAAUCUCCGAGAUUUGCUUGUCCGGCGGCGACUACACUGCUGUGCUGAUGGUGAUCAAGUACGAGCGCUACCUCGCCAUACCUCAAGAUCUCAACGUCAAGAACUCGGACGGUCUCUAUGCUGUGGUUGAGGUCCAGCGUGUCCGUCGCUGGCCUAUCGAUGGUGCAGCGCCCCCUCCCCCUCCGCCCCUUGGCCCACCCGGCGGUGGUGGCGGUCGUCAUGGUGACGGCGGUGGCGGCCCCCCCACUGGCGGCGGCGGCGGCCCAAGCUGCGGGCUGCGUCGUGGGGUGCGGUCGUCUUGGCAUCACGGGUCCUCCAGCCGCGCAACAAUGCCCGCGGUGCUGCUGCCGGCUUCAGGAUCCUGUGCACCUCACCGUUGUUCUCUCCCAGACGAGGCUGCCUACUGCAUCGACGUGUCCGGCGAUGUCGGAGUGGAGCCACCUCCAUUCUCUGCCAUAACUGUGGGUGGAAUCCCACGCGUUGAGGACAUGCGCAUUGCUGUGUGCGAUGGUGCCUUUCAUCUUCUCGUCGAAGGCCAUGGCGGGCUGGGCUAUUUCCGUGUUCCUCAGGAGCUGGUCCGUGCCUCAGCUCAUGGGCCACGCGGCCUCGCCCAUGUGAAUCUCGUCUCCGGCGCUAUCGGGGUGAUAGACAAUAUCACAGUGGUGAAAGGCGUGAAGAAGGACGUGGCGGUGGACUUGCUUGCUGAUCCCGUCAUCACGGGCGACCCGAUGGUGUUUUCACCGGUGCGUCUCGGCGGCGCUGGAGUGAUGGUGGACCCCGUGGUGCCGGUGGUGCCACCUCCACCCACCCAUGAAGCCUCUCCAUGUGCUGCUGCGGCGAUGACUGAAGCGCCUCCUCGCGUUUCCCCGCCACGCCCCAAGCUUGCGCGCGUCCAGGAGGGUGCCCCCGUGCGCGCCAGCGCGCGUCUCCGCGGCAAGGCUCCGUCCCUGAAGAAGUCCAUCCUCGAGCGUGCCGUCAUGCUUAAGGCUGCCCAGCGCGGUGACGGCCCCCCGGUGCAGCCCGACGCCCCGCCGCUCUUCACGACGAUGGAGGUCAAGUCUGCAGCUGGAGCGUGCGACCUCCCGGCUGCUGCAACUGAUGCCAUCCUUGCGUCGUUUCCGGUGCUGCCCGUUCGUCCAUGA